CCUGUGAGAGAGCAUAUGGAAGGCCCUGCAAGAAGUCUGGUGAUAACCAUGGAAGCAUACAAGCAUUACCCAGACAAAAUGGGCGUUUGUCACCUGGGCUUUCUACCAAUGCCAUAGGCAGGAGAAGUCAGCAUGGGAAGCAUCCGUGAGAGCCCUGCAAAAGACUGGUGAGAGUUCCCCUGGUGGCCUCCUUUGGCAAUCUCAGGUCUCUGUAAGCUCUCAAGCUGUGUCGUAAGUCCUCCCGUGGUGCUGACUCAGCUCUCCCUGUCUUUGGUGUAGGAGAGCUGGACUUCAGCUCCUUCCUGUUUCCUGCCUAUCUGCUCCCUGCUUUGCCCAUGGCCCAGUGAGCCUUUUAUUCUUCACCCCCGGACUUGCACGUGUGGAUAACAGCAUCUGCUUAUGUGCGCUUCUUUUCUGCUUGUGGUGACAGGCUGAGCGACAGCUCCCAGCCGAGCUUGUGCUUAGCGAGACACAGAGUAGCUGGAGAUGGAGUUCUCUGUGUCACUAAAGCAUGAGCUUGAUGGCUGCCGUGAGACAAAGUGAGAGAGUUUCUGUGUUUGAUUUCUGUGUUGGGCUGAGCGGGUGGAGCAGGGCAAGGGGGCUGAUUUGGACAUGCUGCUUUCCAAAUACGGUGCUGUUUGUGUGGCAAGUGCUUCUGGCAUUCCAAAUUCUGUCAGAUGUCAAUGAAUUCCUUGGAAUCUGCUGAGUUGACUUGUGCA
RNAcentral lists this long non-coding RNA (719 nucleotides) under Gallus gallus (chicken). RNAcentral's name for it is "lncRNA (ENSGALG00010019408.1)". The record is from RNAcentral. Lineage: Eukaryota; Metazoa; Chordata; Aves; Galliformes; Phasianidae.